GAGUGAACAGAAGACCACCUUUUAAUUUCCACGCAUUUUUCUUAUUUUUCUAGGAGUAGUUUACCUGUAAUCUUUUCUUUUCUGCAUUUAUUGCCUUUUCUAGAAGUAAUCUGUAAGUUAGAUUUUCUAGAGUUUGUAUGCCUUACAGGCACACUCUCUUUUAUACAAGUUUUUUCUGACUUUAAGUUUUAAUAUAUAGAGGUCAUUCGGCUCAUCAGCCAACCCAAAACUACUAUACAAAUAUCCUAUUCUGCUUAUUUAGCCGAACUGAUUAUGUAUUAGAGAGUUUCGAACUCGGCUGAU
This 303-nucleotide long non-coding RNA is filed under the name Ananas comosus (pineapple). RNAcentral describes it as "long non-coding RNA (ACOM_LNC009172)". Lineage: Eukaryota; Viridiplantae; Streptophyta; Magnoliopsida; Poales; Bromeliaceae. The record is from RNAcentral.